This 324-nucleotide unclassified non-coding RNA is filed under the name plant metagenome. Its description in RNAcentral is "partial contains 5.8S ribosomal RNA, internal transcribed spacer 2, and large subunit ribosomal RNA". The stretch from base 1 to 105 matches the Rfam family "5.8S ribosomal RNA", at positions 50 to 154 of the family's 154-position model. The record is from RNAcentral.
GAAAUGCGAUAAGUAAUGUGAAUUGCAGAAUUCAGUGAAUCAUCGAAUCUUUGAACGCACAUUGCGCCCGCUGGUAUUCCGGCGGGCAUGCCUGUUCGAGCGUCAUUUCAACCCUCAAGCUCUCCGGAGUUUGGUGUUGGGGCGCCUGGGGCUUUUCGACCUCAGGGCCCUCAAGUCCAUCGGCGGGACCGCCAGGACACUGAGCGCAGUAGUAUUAUUUCGCUCGGUAGGAUCUUCCACGGCGGGUCGAUCUGGCCGCUAAACCCCCCAAUUCUCACCAAAGGUUGACCUCGGAUCAGGUAGGAAUACCCGCUGAACUUAAGC